CCUACGGGGGGCAGCAGUGGGGGAUAUUGCACAAUGGGGGGAACCCUGAUGCAGCGACGCCGCGUGGGUGAAGAAGCGCCUCGGCGCGUAAAGCCCUGUCAGCAGGGAAGAAAAUGACGGUACCUGAAGAAGAAGCCCCGGCUAACUACGUGCCAGCAGCCGCGGUAAUACGUAGGGGGCAAGCGUUAUCCGGAUUUACUGGGUGUAAAGGGGGCGCAGGCGGGGAUGGAAGCCAGGAGUGAAAGCCCGGGGGCCAACCCCGGGACUGCUCUUGGAACUGGGUGGCUGGAGUGCAGGAGGGGCAGGCGGAAUGCCUGGUGUAGCGGUGAAAUGCGUAGAUAUCAGGAGGAACACCGGUGGCGAAGGCGGCCUGCUGGACUGCAACUGACGUUGAGGCCCGAAAGCGUGAGGAGCAAACAGGAUUAGAUACCCCUGUAGUC
This 440-nucleotide ribosomal RNA is filed under the name uncultured bacterium. RNAcentral's name for it is "partial 16S ribosomal RNA". It matches the Rfam family "Bacterial small subunit ribosomal RNA", at positions 338 to 795 of the family's 1533-position model. The record is from RNAcentral.